UCAGGACGAACGCUGGCGGCGUGCCUAACACAUGCAAGUCGAACGGAGUUGAGGAGCUUGCUCCUUAACUUAGUGGCGGACGGGUGAGUAACGCGUGAGUAACCUGCCUCUGAGAGGGGAAUAACGUUCUGAAAAGAACGCUAAUACCGCAUGACACAUAUUUGCCGCAUGACAGAUAUGUCAAAGAUUUUAUCGCUCAGAGAUGGACUCGCGUCCGAUUAGUUAGUUGGUGAGGUAACGGCUCACCAAGACCGCGAUCGGUAGCCGGACUGAGAGGUUGAACGGCCACAUUGGGACUGAGACACGGCCCAGACUCCUACGGGAGGCAGCAGUGGGGGAUAUUGCGCAAUGGGGGCAACCCUGAACCGCAGCAACGCCGCGUGAAGGAUGAAGGUUUUCGGAUUGUAAACUUCUUUUCUCAGGGACGAAAUCUGACGGUACCUGAGGAAUAAGCUCCGGCUAACUACGUGCCAGCAGCCGC
RNAcentral lists this ribosomal RNA (481 nucleotides) under uncultured bacterium. Its description in RNAcentral is "bacterial SSU rRNA". It matches the Rfam family "Bacterial small subunit ribosomal RNA", at positions 24 to 518 of the family's 1533-position model. The record is from RNAcentral.